UACGUAGGGUGCAAGCGUUGUCCGGAAUUAUUGGGCGUAAAGGGCGCGUAGGCGGUUUGUUAAGUCGGUCGUGAAAGCCCGGGGCUCAACCCCGGAGGGUCGACCGAUACUGGCAGACUAGAGUACAGAAGAGGUAACUGGAAUUCCCGGUGUAGCGGUGAAAUGCGCAGAUAUCGGGAAGAACACCCGUGGCUAAGGCGGCUCUCUAGUACGGUACUGACGCUGAGACGCGAAAGCGUGGGGAGCGAACAGG
Molecule: ribosomal RNA, 253 nt
Filed under: uncultured bacterium
Lineage: Bacteria
Description: partial 16S ribosomal RNA
Rfam family: Bacterial small subunit ribosomal RNA
Source: RNAcentral